RNAcentral lists this transfer RNA (71 nucleotides) under Loxodonta africana (African savanna elephant). It matches the Rfam family "tRNA". From Rfam's summary of the family: Transfer RNA (tRNA) molecules are approximately 80 nucleotides in length. Lineage: Eukaryota; Metazoa; Chordata; Mammalia; Proboscidea; Elephantidae. The record is from Rfam by way of RNAcentral.
GUAUUAGUGAUUUAGUGGUAGAAUUUUCACCUUCCAUGUGGAAGACCCAGGUUCAAUUUCUGACCAAUGCA